GAGGAAUAUUGGUCAAUGGGCGCAAGCCUGAACCAGCCAUCCCGCGUGCAGGAAGACGGCGCUAUGCGUUGUAAACUGCUUUUCCAGGGAGAGGAACUUGCGCACGUGUUGCGCAAUUGACGGUACCCUGGGAAUAAGCAUCGGCUAACUCCGUGCCAGCAGCCGCGGUAAUACGGAGGAUGCGAGCGUUAUCCGGAUUCAUUGGGUUUAAAGGGUGCGUAGGCGGACUAUUAAGUCAGUGGUGAAAUCCUGCAGCUUAACUGCAGAACUGCCAUUGAUACUGAUAGGCUUGAGUUUGGUUAAGGUAGGCGGAAUGUGUAAUGUAGCGGUGAAAUGCUUAGAUAUUACACAGAACACCAAUUGCGUAGGCAGCUUACUGAGCCGACACUGACGCUGAGGCACGAAAGCGUGGGGAUCGAACAG
RNAcentral lists this ribosomal RNA (423 nucleotides) under uncultured bacterium. RNAcentral describes it as "bacterial SSU rRNA". It matches the Rfam family "Bacterial small subunit ribosomal RNA", at positions 356 to 775 of the family's 1533-position model. The record is from RNAcentral.